This 253-nucleotide ribosomal RNA is filed under the name uncultured bacterium. RNAcentral's name for it is "partial 16S ribosomal RNA". It matches the Rfam family "Bacterial small subunit ribosomal RNA", at positions 524 to 776 of the family's 1533-position model. The record is from RNAcentral.
UACGUAGGGGGCAAGCGUUGUCCGGAUUUAUUGGGCGUAAAGAGCGUGUAGGCGGCCAAGCAGGUCUGCUGUGAAAACUCGAGGCUCAACCUCGAGACGUCGGUGGAAACCGCUUGGCUAGAGUCCGGAAGAGGAGAGUGGAAUUCCCGGUGUAGCGGUGAAAUGCGCAGAUAUCGGGAAGAACACCCGUGGCGAAGGCGGCUCUCUGGGACGGUACUGACGCUGAGACGCGAAAGCGUGGGGAGCGAACAGG